Molecule: ribosomal RNA, 301 nt
Filed under: uncultured bacterium
Lineage: Bacteria
Description: bacterial SSU rRNA
Rfam family: Bacterial small subunit ribosomal RNA
Source: RNAcentral
AUUGAACGCUGGCGGCGUGCCUAACACAUGCAAGUCGAGCGGUAACAGGUGUAGCAAUACAUGCUGACGAGCGGCGAACGGGUGAGUAAUGCUUCGGAAUCUACCCAAUGGUGGGGAAUAACCAGCCGAAAGGUUGGCCAAUACCGCAUACGUCCCACGGGAGAAAGCAGGGAUCGCAAGACCUUGCGCCAAUGGAUGAGCCGAAGUCGGAUUAGCUAGUUGGAGGGUAACGGCCUACCAAGGCGACGAUCCGUAGCUGGUCUGAGAGGACGGACCAGCCACACUGGGACUGAGACACGGG